GCUGACAUUGACAAGUGACAACAGAGGCAAAUGACGUUGACAGCUCGACCGUUUGUCUUUUUUUGGCCUGUAGCGAAGGGAGAAUUGUUCGACAAAGCUUGGGUCCACUUGUUUUGCUCUUAUAGCAACUGAUGCAUAAAAAGCAUCUUAUAUGAAUUUGCAAGAAGCCUCAUCAAAUUCUACAAACAAUGAAGUUGUAUUAAAUGCCGAUGAAGCCUAUACUGAAACAAUUAUCAUUGAAGUGGUUUCUGACCCAGAAGAAACAACAAACGAGAGUAUUGAAGAAAUUACUGAUGAAGAAAAGCAAUCGACUACAAAGCAAACACGUAAACUAAGAACCUCAAAAAGAACAAAAAAUUGCAAAAACAAAAGUUGCAACUUCAAAUGUAAAAAUGUCAAAUUAUUAAGUAAAUAUUCCAAAACCUGUGACAAAAAAUUGGGACAACAGUCUAAAGAGGAAAUAAAGAAACCCAAUCCUUGGUACAAAUGUUGCAUAUGCAACACGAUCUUAAGAAAACAAGGCAGUAUGGACAGUCAUUCCAGAAUCCAUGCCAGGGAAGAGGGAGAACUCUAUCUCAAAGUAAAAUUUAUGAAGUACGUUGAAGGAGUGUUUCAAAAAUUUAUUGUCAGGUACGCUGACCCGUUAUACAAACCACCACCAAGCAAUAGGAACCCAAAUACAGUUUUAAAUGAUGGAUUAAACUAUGACCCAAACAAACCUGUAUUUAAGUGUGAUAAGUGUAAUUAUAAGACUAAUCACACCGAAGAUCUGAAUAAGCAUAAAAAGCUACACUACUGGAACCCAGAAAAGCAUAAAAACUUUGAAACAAAUACAUGGUUUACAUGCAAUAUUUGUUAUUUUUAUAGUUUAGAUAAGGAGAGGUAUAUGAAACAUUUCCAUACCCAUAAGGAGGAAAAUUAUACCUAAAUGUUACAUAUGUAGUAUUUAUUGAUAUAAUUAAAAUAUAUGACAA
Long non-coding RNA from Anthonomus grandis grandis, 974 nucleotides. RefSeq lists it as uncharacterized. Lineage: Eukaryota; Metazoa; Arthropoda; Insecta; Coleoptera; Curculionidae. The record is from RefSeq and is a predicted model, not a curated record. The transcript is spliced from 2 exons.